Vicia faba (fava bean) is the source of this 228-nucleotide non-coding RNA. The record is from the annotation of a GenBank genome assembly. Lineage: Eukaryota; Viridiplantae; Streptophyta; Magnoliopsida; Fabales; Fabaceae.
AUGUUUCUCUUCAGAAUUACAAAUAGCAAGUCGUAUUGCCAUUACAUUUUGAGGAAUUACAAGAAAAGGAGUUUAUAUAUCUAUCAUAAGCCUAAGUGUUCCUUAAGAUGCUAUAUCUUAUCAAAAGACCGGCUGCCAAAACAGUUUCAAGCUUGUUCCAGACUUUUAGCCAAUUCUAUGAAAUCUAGCUCUUCCUUCUCGCAUAAUCCGACCUACAAUAGUGCAUAA